RNAcentral lists this unclassified non-coding RNA (375 nucleotides) under uncultured bacterium. Its description in RNAcentral is "contains 16S-23S intergenic spacer region". The record is from RNAcentral.
UCCGGUUUGUCACCGGCAGUCUCGCAUGAGUCCCCAGCCGAACUGCUGGCAACAUGCAACGGGGGUUGCGCUCGUUGCGGGACUUAACCCAACAUCUCACGACACGAGCUGACGACAACCAUGCACCACCUGUGCACGACCCUUUAAAGGACCUGCCAUCUCUGACAGAUUUCCGUGCAUGUCAAGCCUAGGUAAGGUUCUUCGCGUUGCAUCGAAUUAAGCAACAUGCUCCGCCGCUUGUGCGGGCCCCCGUCAAUUCCUUUGAGUUUUAAUCUUGCGACCGUACUCCCCAGGCGGGGUGCUUAAUGCGUUUGCUGCGCCACCGACCGGCAUGCCGACCGACGGCUAGCACCCAUAGUUUACGGCGUGGACUAC